GUAGUUAGCCGAGACUUAUUCCGGGGUACCGUCCUUCCUCUUCCCCCGAAAACGUGGUUUACAACCCGAAGGCCGUCAUCCCACACGCGGCGUUGCUGCGUCAGGCUUUCGCCCAUUGUCGCAAUAUCCCUUA
This 133-nucleotide ribosomal RNA is filed under the name uncultured bacterium. RNAcentral's name for it is "partial 16S ribosomal RNA". The record is from RNAcentral.